This 151-nucleotide unclassified non-coding RNA is filed under the name soil metagenome. Its description in RNAcentral is "partial internal transcribed spacer 1". The record is from RNAcentral.
GCGAGUAUGGCCCUCACGGGUCUAAUCCACCACAAACACCUUUGUAAACCAGUCAGGGGGACUCGGCCGUGAAAGCCCAGGCGAUUAGCGGAAGGGCCCUCCUUUGCAAACCCGUUUAGAAGUCUUGAAAGUACUUUUGUAUAAUCUAGUA